UCCCCCAGUAACGGCGAGUGAAGCGGGAAGAGCUCAAGCUUAAAAUCUCCAUACUUGUAUGGCGAAUUGUAGUCUAUUGAGGCUGUUGUCAGCAUCGCGAUUGGGGACAAGUCCCUUGGAAAAGGGCAGCAUAGAGGGUGAUACUCCCGUCUCUGCUCCAAUCUGCGGUGUGUACGAUACGCUUUCUUUGAGUCGAGUUGUUUGGGAAUACAGCUCAAAGUAGGUGGUAAAUUCCAUCUAAAGCUAAAUAUUGGUGCGAGACCGAUAGCGAACAAGUACCGUGAGGGAAAGAUGAAAAGAACUUUGAAAAGAGAGUUAAAGAGUACCUGAAACUGUUGAAAGGGAACCGUAUCGUUUCCAGUGUUGUAUCCUAUGCAUAUUUCAUUCGUGGAGCAAUUUGCGGGUGCCCUGUGCAUGGGUGUGACGUCAGGGUCAGUUUGUAUGCUGCGGGAGAUGGUCAGUGAGGAGGUGCGUCACUUCGGUGAAAGUUAUAUCUCGCUGUCUAGUAGCCGUGGUUGAGACUGAGGUGCCUACAACAUGCCUUAAGGUUCCGUGUUGUCUCGUGUUGGUGACUGCUUUGAUAGCUUGCUAUGUUUGUGGUUUAUUAGUGCGAUUGAUGAUGCGGAUAACUUUUG
Molecule: ribosomal RNA, 635 nt
Filed under: Saprolegnia diclina
Lineage: Eukaryota; Oomycota; Saprolegniomycetes; Saprolegniales; Saprolegniaceae
Description: LSU rRNA
Rfam family: Eukaryotic large subunit ribosomal RNA
Source: RNAcentral